Molecule: ribosomal RNA, 792 nt
Filed under: bacterium E2B14aut
Lineage: Bacteria
Description: bacterial SSU rRNA
Rfam family: Bacterial small subunit ribosomal RNA
Source: RNAcentral
CGUUAGCGGCGGACGGGUGAGUAACACGUGGAUAACCUACCUAUAAGACUGGGAUAACUUCGGGAAACCGGAGCUAAUACCGGAUAAUAUAUUGAACCGCAGGGUUCAAUAGUGAAAGACGGUUUUGCUGUCACUUAUAGAUGGAUCCGCGCCGCAGUAGCUAGUUGGUAAGGUAACGGCUUACCAAGGCAACGAUGCGUAGCCGACCUGAGAGGGUGAUCGGCCACACUGGAACUGAGACACGGUCCAGACUCCUACGGGAGGCAGCAGUAGGGAAUCUUCCGCAAUGGGCGAAAGCCUGACGGAGCAACGCCGCGUGAGUGAUGAAGGUCUUCGGAUCGUAAAACUCUGUUAUUAGGGAAGAACAAAUGUGUAAGUAACUAUGCACGUCUUGACGGUACCUAAUCAGAAAGCCACGGCUAACUACGUGCCAGCAGCCGCGGUAAUACGUAGGUGGCAAGCGUUAUCCGGAAUUAUUGGGCGUAAAGCGCGCGUAGGCGGUUUUUUAAGUCUGAUGUGAAAGCCCACGGCUCAACCGUGGAGGGUCAUUGGAAACUGGAAAACUUGAGUGCAGAAGAGGAAAGUGGAAUUCCAUGUGUAGCGGUGAAAUGCGCAGAGAUAUGGAGGAACACCAGUGGCGAAGGCGACUUUCUGGUCUGUAACUGACGCUGAUGUGCGAAAGCGUGGGGAUCAAACAGGAUUAGAUACCCUGGUAGUCCACGCCGUAAACGAUGAGUGCUAAGUGUUAGGGGGUUUCCGCCCCUUAGUGCUGCAGCUAACGCAUUAAGCACU